RNAcentral lists this ribosomal RNA (253 nucleotides) under uncultured bacterium. RNAcentral describes it as "partial 16S ribosomal RNA". It matches the Rfam family "Bacterial small subunit ribosomal RNA", at positions 524 to 776 of the family's 1533-position model. The record is from RNAcentral.
UACGUAGGGUGCAAGCGUUAAUCGGAAUUACUGGGCGUAAAGCGUGCGCAGGCGGCUUUGCAAGACAGAUGUGAAAUCCCCGGGCUCAACCCGGGAACUGCGUCCGAUACUGGCAGGCUUGAAUCCGGGAGAGGGAUGCGGAAUUCCAGGUGUAGCGGUGAAAUGCGUAGAUAUCUGGAGGAACACCGGUGGCGAAGGCGGCAUCCUGGACCGGCAUUGACGCUGAGGCGCGAAAGCCAGGGGAGCAAACGGG